This 454-nucleotide long non-coding RNA is filed under the name Vigna radiata. RNAcentral's name for it is "long non-coding RNA (VRAD_LNC001408)". The record is from RNAcentral. Lineage: Eukaryota; Viridiplantae; Streptophyta; Magnoliopsida; Fabales; Fabaceae.
CUCACCAAACAUUAAGAAAACUUGCUACAAAAUUGUGAAACGAUAAAUUAAAUAAUGUAGCUUGUGUCACUAGAAAACUCUACACUUUAUACGAUAUGAAUAAAUAAUUGGCACACCCUUUCCCUAUUAGACUUAUCCUCCAAACUUUUAUUUCUCACAAAACUUCAAAAAACGAAACAUCAUUUCCUUAUUUGUUUUUACGCUUCAGUUUCCAUAUUCACAUGAAAGCAACGCAGAAACAAAGUGGUCUUACUAGGCCCAUAAGGCUGUGAAAGUUAAAAAAAGAAAAAGAAAAAACCAAAAUAUAAACUCAACGUGACACGUGGAAUAACACGUGGAAUCAUUGGCUACGCGGCUAUCAUCGUCCGCUAGUUUCGACACGUCAAAUGUCCACGUAAGACAGCGAAAAACAUGGGCCCCUUUUUUCUGGAGCGGAUAUCCGCUUCACAAAAGG